UUCUUUCUUUUUUUUUUUUUUUCCCCCUUUUCUUUCUUUCUUUUUCCAUCCAAGCAAACAUAGGAUUUAGCUACACUCUUUGGAAAUGAGCAUGGUGUGGCUUUCUAUUUAUGCACCAGUUUUUUUAUUUUAAUUUAAUCCACCUGCUGAGGCUGGUUUGCUGUGGCUUAAGUAUUUUUUAAUGUUUUGAUAAUGGUAUUCUGAUAUUUUAUGGGCUUCGAGUCAUUGUUUGCUUUUGUUUUAGUUAAUUACCUGCAUAUCUUUUUAUUUGCCUAUAGAAUAAGUUACAAUGAGAUCAAAGAGAUGGUGUCAAGUAGCUUGGUUUGAUUAAUGGCUUUAUUUCUAUAAGGGAAUCAGCUUUGUGUUAAUUUCAUAUUUCAAAUAUAUAUAUAAUCACAAUAUGAUUACAAUGACUAUGAAAUUGUUAAUUUAUUAAUUUAAGAAAUUAUAGUACUAUAAUUUUUUUAUUCAAACCGUAUAUAAUAUAUUUUAUGUGUAGAAAAUAAAAAAAAUUAAAUAAAUUUUGUAAUAAAUUAUAAAUAAUAAUUUUAUUUAAAAUAUAUACAUAUAAAAAGUUUAUUUAUUAAUAUUAUUAUAAAAAUUUUAAUAAAAAAAUUACACCAGCAGCAUUGUGCCAGUAUGAUAUAGCUUGUAUAUAGCUAAGGGUGUGUUUGAAUUGCUAUUGAAAAUUAUUGUUGAGAAAAUUAUUGAGAAAAUUA
Molecule: unclassified non-coding RNA, 719 nt
Filed under: Hevea brasiliensis (rubber tree)
Lineage: Eukaryota; Viridiplantae; Streptophyta; Magnoliopsida; Malpighiales; Euphorbiaceae
Source: RNAcentral